GAUCAAAGUGUAGUAUCUGUUCUUAUCAGCUUAAUAUCUGAUACGAUUCCCAUNGUGGAUCCAGAAUAUUAAACUGAUUUUUGGAAACUGGCGGAGUGCUGGGGCUUGCUCCACCUCCGCCGCGGGUUGGC
This 131-nucleotide small nuclear RNA is filed under the name Triops australiensis. RNAcentral describes it as "partial U2 snRNA". It matches the Rfam family "U2 spliceosomal RNA", at positions 25 to 155 of the family's 192-position model. From Rfam's summary of the family: U2 is a small nuclear RNA (snRNA) component of the spliceosome (involved in pre-mRNA splicing). Complementary binding between U2 snRNA (in an area lying towards the 5' end but 3' to hairpin I) and the branchpoint sequence (BPS) of the intron results the bulging out of an unpaired adenosine, on the BPS, which initiates a nucleophilic attack at the intronic 5' splice site, thus starting the first of two transesterification reactions that mediate splicing. Lineage: Eukaryota; Metazoa; Arthropoda; Branchiopoda; Notostraca; Triopsidae. The record is from RNAcentral.